Cyprinus carpio carpio is the source of this 747-nucleotide long non-coding RNA. NCBI's taxonomy places the organism in Eukaryota, Metazoa, Chordata, Actinopteri, Cypriniformes, Cyprinidae. The record is from Ensembl.
AUCUUUAUUCAUCAGUACUUGCCAUUAUAAUGAGGGUCCAAACAGCUGAUUAAAAGAUCACAAUAUUUUGAAAUUUGAAGUUAAAACAUCUUAAUGCUGGAUGUGUUUCAUCUUUUGUCUUCUCCAGAUGAAAGUGAAAGUGAAAGUGAAAGUGACGUGACAUUCAGCCAAGUAUGGUGACCCAUACUCAGAAUUCGUGCUCUGCAUUUAACCCAUCCGAAGUGCACACACACAGAGCAGUGAACACACACACACACUGUGAACACACACCCGGAGCAGUGGGCAGCCAUUUUAUGCUGCGGCGCCCGGGGAGCAGUUGGGGGUUCGAUGCCUUGCUCAAGGGCACCUAAGUCAUGGUAUUGAAGGUGGAGAGAGAACUGUACAUGCACUCCCCCCACCCACAAUUCCUGCCGGCCCGAGACUCGAACUCACAACCCUUCGAUUGGGAGUCCGACUCUCUAACCAUUAGGCCACGACUUCCCACAAAACAGUCCAAACAGGAUUGUUUGGACAGAUGUUCACUGAUGGACUGGAGUGGUGUGGAUUACUUGUGGAUUAUUGUGAUGUUUUUAUCAGCUGUUUGGACUCUCAUUCUGACGGCACCCAUUCACUGCAGAGCAUCCAUUGGAUCCUGUUUGGACUGUUUUAAGGUAUGGAACCAACUUGCAGAAAUGGGCUUUAUGUACUUCUCAGGAAUAUACUUAAAAUGACAUUUAAGUAUACUUGACUUACACUUACAAAAAGUCU